This 158-nucleotide ribosomal RNA is filed under the name Bacillus sp. 071-2.1-LH-A-06. Its description in RNAcentral is "partial 16S ribosomal RNA". It matches the Rfam family "Bacterial small subunit ribosomal RNA", at positions 60 to 211 of the family's 1533-position model. The record is from RNAcentral. Lineage: Bacteria; Bacillati; Bacillota; Bacilli; Caryophanales; Bacillaceae.
CAGUCGAGCGAAUGAUGAGGAAGCUUGCUUCCUCUGAUUUAGCGGCGGACGGGUGAGUAACACGUGGGCAACCUACCUUAUAGUUUGGGAUAACUCCGGGAAACCGGGGCUAAUACCAAAUAAUCUCUUUUACUUCAUGGUGAAAGACUGAAAGACGG